AGGAUGAACGCUGGCGGCGUGCCUAAUACAUGCAAGUCGAACGAGGUCUUCGGACCGAGUGGCGAACGGGUGAGUAACACGUUGGUACCUACCCCGAAGUGGGGAAUAACUGCCCGAAAGGGUGGCUAAUACCGCAUAAUACCGCAAGGUUAAAGCAGUAAUGCGCUUCGGGAGGGGCCUGCGUCCCAUUAGCUAGUUGGUAGGGUAAUGGCCUACCAAGGCGACGAUGGGUAGCUGGAUCGAGAGGUUGACCAGCCACACUGGGACUGAGAUACGGCCCAGACUCCUACGGGAGGCAGCAGUAAGGAAUCUUCCACAUGGACGAAAGUCUGAUGGAGCAACGCCGCGUGCAGGAUGACGGCCUUGGGUUGUAAGCCCUUUCGGCGGGGAAGAUAAUGACGGUACCGCAGAAGACGCCCCGGCUAACUCGUGCCAGCAGCCGC
RNAcentral lists this ribosomal RNA (443 nucleotides) under uncultured bacterium. RNAcentral describes it as "SSU rRNA". It matches the Rfam family "Bacterial small subunit ribosomal RNA", at positions 26 to 518 of the family's 1533-position model. The record is from RNAcentral.